UACGUAGGGUGCAAGCGUUGUCCGGAAUUAUUGGGCGUAAAGAGCUCGUAGGCGGUUUGUCGCGUCUGCUGUGAAAACCCGAGGCUCAACCUCCAGCCUGCAGUGGGUACGGGCAGACUAGAGUGCGGUAGGGGAGAUUGGAAUUCCUGGUGUAGCGGUGGAAUGCGCAGGAUAUCAGGAGGAACACCAAUGGCGAAGGCAGAUCUCUGGGCCGUAACUGACGCUGAGGAGCGAAAGCAUGGGGAGCGAACAGG
This 254-nucleotide ribosomal RNA is filed under the name uncultured bacterium. RNAcentral describes it as "partial 16S ribosomal RNA". It matches the Rfam family "Bacterial small subunit ribosomal RNA", at positions 524 to 776 of the family's 1533-position model. The record is from RNAcentral.